This 73-nucleotide transfer RNA is filed under the name Enterospora canceri. It matches the Rfam family "tRNA". Rfam says of the family: Transfer RNA (tRNA) molecules are approximately 80 nucleotides in length. Their secondary structure includes four short double-helical elements and three loops (D, anti-codon, and T loops). Further hydrogen bonds mediate the characteristic L-shaped molecular structure. tRNAs have two regions of fundamental functional importance: the anti-codon, which is responsible for specific mRNA codon recognition, and the 3' end, to which the tRNAs corresponding amino acid is attached (by aminoacyl-tRNA synthetases). tRNAs cope with the degeneracy of the genetic code in two manners: having more than one tRNA (with a specific anti-codon) for a particular amino acid; and 'wobble' base-pairing, i.e. permitting non-standard base-pairing at the 3rd anti-codon position. Lineage: Eukaryota; Fungi; Microsporidia; Enterocytozoonidae. The record is from Rfam by way of RNAcentral.
GAUCGCAUAGCUCAAUGGUAGAGCAACGGUCUUCGGAACCGGAGGUUUGUGGGUUCGAAUCCCAUUGCGAUUG